UGUUAUCUGGAUGUCGUUGAUGUUGGACCUGAGCGAAAGCCUGCCUGACUAUCUCCUCCGAGUUCAUUCCAAAGUUAUCGGCUCGGCUUCUCCCACAUUAAAGUCAUGGAAGCGCGUUGACCUUCCUUUGAGCAACGGGGCGCGGUCAUACAAACAAAAGCUGCUUCAAUUGUGAGAGGAAAAGUAACAGGCGGAGGGAAGACGGAAAACAUGUCGGAACACGGACGGGAGCUUCGAGCGAGGGCCACUAAACGAGAUUGUCGUCCUUUCGCGUGAACUGCUCAGUAUCGGCUCAAGACUUGGCACAAAAUGAGGAUUCAGACGGCGGGGCGAGUCCAUUAGAUUUGUUUUGCGCCGAAGCCAAAGCCGGCUGACUUUGGUCGGGUGCCAUUUUAGAAAAUGCUAAAAUGGCCGCCAGUCAAUCAGAGGCCAGAUGAGGACAAACAAAUAUUCACGUGGCUCCGGCGGAGUCUUCAUUUCACCUCACAUCUGUUUUGGAAACAUGGGUGCUCCAUAACUUCACACUACCACAGAACCAAAAAAAAAAACUGAAGGUAGCCAUUUUCUGUUCCUUGACGAUCUUUAAUGUGAUGUCUUCAUAAAUGAGCCAGAGGGCACAAAGUAGAAAGAAACAAUUUUUUGCGGUGUUUUGAAGAUCAUUUUUUUUCGUCAUUUGUAUCUUGGAAUAUAUGCUCCCUUCUCACUUUAACUCAACUUGGAUAGUGUGUCGCAAAUGGCCCCCGGGCCGCAGUUUAGAAACCGCUGUGCUCAUCGACUGCCUUUCUGAUGCAUUGCUCAAAGGCCGACCGUUUUGAGCUUUGUAUCCGCCGCUUGCCAUUUGGAUCUCUCGACUCCAGGUUACGCAAAAAGAGCCAAAAUUAAUAACAAGAAGCGACACUUACCGUUCAAUCCUUUUGUUUACCGCAAUCCUUUCCAGACUUGUUGCAAGGCACGAUUUGGUUGCCGCAUGGAUGCCUACUCAGCGUGUAGCCAUGUGGACGUCGCUCAUUUGGGGCACUGGCCGCUCUAAGAUAAUCGGGGGGG
Molecule: long non-coding RNA, 1044 nt
Organism: Hippocampus zosterae (dwarf seahorse)
Lineage: Eukaryota; Metazoa; Chordata; Actinopteri; Syngnathiformes; Syngnathidae
Exons: 2
Source: RefSeq, a predicted model, not a curated record